Molecule: non-coding RNA, 449 nt
Organism: Cajanus cajan (pigeon pea)
Lineage: Eukaryota; Viridiplantae; Streptophyta; Magnoliopsida; Fabales; Fabaceae
Source: RefSeq, a predicted model, not a curated record
AAAUUUUUCCCAAAAGUUAAAUGUUCCCUCCCCUCUCAUCAGAAACGUAACCCUGAACAACAUAAUCCCCCUCUCUCUCGUUCCAUUCUUCUUCAUCUCUCUCGCUCCAUUCUUCUUCAUCUCUCUCGCUCCAUUCUUCUUCUUCUCUGUCGAUCACGGUCACGCCUUUGCUGCUCAAGAGUCACGCCUCUAGCCUGCUACGAACGUUGUGCAUAACCACGGGUUCACGGGCUCCCAACCUCUACUUUCCUCUGCCUCGUUCGCUUCUUCGCUGACACAAGUCGCAGCUAAGUUGCUCUGGAUAAACAAAGGUUUAUGUUCUUAAAUCCCACACCAACUUGGUUGCCUCUGGACAACUUUCUCAGCAGUUGGAGGGGCUGCAUAUAUCUAUUGAAGAUUACUCUCUGUUUUUUACUCUUCAAUUUCUCAGUUUCCUAUGUUUAUUCUAU